UAUACAUACAUAUAUAUAUAUAUAUGUAUUCUAAUGCUACUAUCCUAUUAAUAGAAUAGGAGCACUUAUCCUAUCAAGUUGUUCUUUAUGAUCGAGAUUCCGAAUCGAUGAUCAGAGCUGUUGAAGUUGAUCUAGAGUAUUUGAAAUAUCUAGAAACUAAAUUUCAUAAAUUUUGAUAAUGGUUUACAUGGCGAUCAAAGUGUCGUAAAAUCGACAAUUUUUUACGGCUUAUAUGAACCGUUUGCUUGUUUAACGGUGUAGAGCAAUCCAAAUUGCUUGAAUUUUUAAUAGAAAAUUUUUUAUACUAUUUAGAUAAUGUUUGAUAACUCUAAUUACAAACUGAGAAGUCUAAUCUCUAUUUUAAGAAGGUUAUUCAUUUAUGACCGUUCAUUUUUCAACUCUUAAGAUGAACUUGAUAAUGAUUUUUAAAUAAUACAAAAUUUGGUUUCUAAACAUUUCUAAUUGUGUAGAUCAACUUCAACGGUGCCGAUUAUCAAUUUGAAGUUCCGAUCAUUCAAAUCGAUUUGAUAGGACAAAGGUCCCAAUCCUAUUAAUAGGAUAGUAGCCGGACCCUACAUAUAUAUAUAUAUAUAUAUAUAUAUAUAUAUACAUGCAUGCGCAUAUACAUAUAUAGAGAGAGAGAGAGAGUAGAGUUAGAGCCCAGAGCUUUUCGUACUCAUAAGUUAUUUUCAAUAAUGAAACUUUCAAAUUAACGAUCAACUCCAUUAAAUAUGAGCUAAAGUAUUUAAAAUUUCUAAAAAAUAAAUUUUGUAAUUUUUUAAAAUUAUAAUAAAAUCUAUCAAGCUGGCAUAAAAUGAAUGGUCAAAAUUGAACAAUGUUCUAAAAAUAGAUGAUCGGAUCCUUCAAUUUAAAAUUAUAAUUAUUGAUCUUUAUCUAGACAGUGAAUAGAAUUUUCUAUAAAAAAAUCAAUAUAUUUCAAUUCUUUUACACUGUUAAACUAAUAGAUAUUUCAUACCGGCCGUUAAAAAUUAUCAAUUUUGUGAUAUUUUGAUCGUAAGGUGAAUAAUGCCAAAAAAUUAUAAAAUUAAAUUUUUAAAAAAUUUAAAUGCUCUAGAUAAUGUAUGGAAUCAUCGAUUUGGAAGUGAAAGUUUUGAGGAGCCCAAGGAUCUAUCUAGAUUGUAUCUAUCACCUAGAGGGGGGGGUGAAUAGGUGAAAGGCCAAAAACCACAAAUCUCGAUGCAAUAAAAUAAAUGCGGAAAAUAAAAAGCACACCGAGAUUUAUGUGGGAAAACUCCAACUUGGAGAAAAACCCACGGGACCAACACGUGAAAAAACAAUUCACUAAGAGAAAAGAU
RNAcentral lists this long non-coding RNA (1316 nucleotides) under Ananas comosus (pineapple). RNAcentral describes it as "long non-coding RNA (ACOM_LNC011187)". Lineage: Eukaryota; Viridiplantae; Streptophyta; Magnoliopsida; Poales; Bromeliaceae. The record is from RNAcentral.